UCGGGAAUUUUGGGCAAUGGGCGAAAGCCUGAUCCAGCCAUGCCGCGUGUGUGAAGAAGGUCUUCGGAUUGUAAAGCACUUUAAGUUGGGAGGAAGGGCAUUUACCUAAUACGUAAGUGUUUUGACGUUACCGACAGAAUAAGCACCGGCUAACUCUGUGCCAGCAGCCGCGGUAAUACAGAGGGUGCAAGCGUUAAUCGGAAUUACUGGGCGUAAAGCGCGCGUAGGUGGUUUGUUAAGUUGGAUGUGAAAUCCCCGGGCUCAACCUGGGAACUGCAUUCAAAACUGACUGACUAGAGUAUGGUAGAGGGUGGUGGAAUUUCCUGUGUAGCGGUGAAAUGCGUAGAUAUCAAGAGGAACACCUGAGGCGAAGGCGGGUUGCUAGGCUGAUACUGACGCUGAGGCGCGAAAGCUAGGGUAGCAAACGGGAUUAGAUACCCUAGUAGUCCCUGAGCGGGCUGGCAAGGCGCAU
RNAcentral lists this ribosomal RNA (472 nucleotides) under uncultured bacterium. RNAcentral's name for it is "bacterial SSU rRNA". It matches the Rfam family "Bacterial small subunit ribosomal RNA", at positions 355 to 825 of the family's 1533-position model. The record is from RNAcentral.